GACGAACGCUGGCGGCGUGCCUAAUACAUGCAAGUAGAACGCACAGUUUAUACCGUAGCUUGCUACACCAUAGACUGUGAGUUGCGAACGGGUGAGUAACGCGUAGGUAACCUGCCUGGUAGCGGGGGAUAACUAUUGGAAACGAUAGCUAAUACCGCAUAAUAUUAAUUAUUGCAGGAUAAUUAAUUGAAAGGUGCAAUUGCACCACUACCAGAUGGACUUGCGUUGUAUUAGCUAGUAGGUGAGGUAACGGCUCACCUAGGCGACGAUACAUAGCCGACCUGAGAGGGUGAUCGGCCACACUGGGACUGAGACACGGCCCAGACUCCUACGGGAGGCAGCAGUAGGGAAUCUUCGGCAAUGGACGAAAGUCUGACCGAGCAACGCCGCGUGAGUGAAGAAGGUUUUCGGAUCGUAAAGCUCUGUUGUAAGAGGAGAACGGGUGUGAGAGUGGAAAGUUCACCAUGUGACGGUAUCUUACCAGAAAGGGACGGCUAACUACGUG
This 505-nucleotide ribosomal RNA is filed under the name uncultured bacterium. RNAcentral describes it as "partial 16S ribosomal RNA". It matches the Rfam family "Bacterial small subunit ribosomal RNA", at positions 28 to 507 of the family's 1533-position model. The record is from RNAcentral.